Molecule: ribosomal RNA, 424 nt
Filed under: uncultured cyanobacterium
Lineage: Bacteria; Bacillati; Cyanobacteriota
Description: bacterial SSU rRNA
Rfam family: Bacterial small subunit ribosomal RNA
Source: RNAcentral
GGGGAAUUUUCCGCAAUGGGCGAAAGCCUGACGGAGCAAUACCGCGUGAGGGAUGAAAGCCUGUGGGUUGUAAACCUCUUUUCUCAAGGAAGAAAUUUUGACGGUACUUGAGGAAUAAGCAUCGGCUAACUCUGUGCCAGCAGCCGCGGUAAUACAGAGGAUGCAAGCGUUAUCCGGAAUCACUGGGCAUAAAGCGUCUGUAGGUUGCCUAGCAAGUCUGCUGUUAAAGAUCAGGGCCUAACCCUGGGAAAGCAGUGGAAACUACUAGGCUUGAGUGUGGUAGAGGUAGAGGGAAUUCCUGGUGUAGCGGUGAAAUGCGUAGAUAUUAGGAAGAACACCAAUGGCGAAAGCACUCUGCUGGGCCACAACUGACACUAAGAGACGACAGCUAGGGGAGCAAAUGGGAUUAGAUACCCCAGUAGUC